AGCUCAGGGGUAGAGCAUCUGCUUUGCAUGCAGAAGGUUGCAGGUUCAAUCACCGGC
This 57-nucleotide transfer RNA is filed under the name Podarcis lilfordi (Lilford's wall lizard). It matches the Rfam family "tRNA", at positions 9 to 63 of the family's 71-position model. From Rfam's summary of the family: Transfer RNA (tRNA) molecules are approximately 80 nucleotides in length. Lineage: Eukaryota; Metazoa; Chordata; Lepidosauria; Squamata; Lacertidae. The record is from Rfam by way of RNAcentral.